Mytilus californianus (California mussel) is the source of this 1012-nucleotide long non-coding RNA. RefSeq lists it as uncharacterized. The transcript is spliced from 3 exons. Lineage: Eukaryota; Metazoa; Mollusca; Bivalvia; Mytilida; Mytilidae. The record is from RefSeq and is a predicted model, not a curated record.
AUUUUAAUGGAUAAUGUUUACAUUUUAUACCAUACAUCACCUACGUACCAAUAUUUGGAUUAAAAAACAUGUGAACUACAAAAAAAACUAAAUAGAAAACAAGAAAAACAAAUGAAAAACAAAUUGCCAAGAGGAGAAUACGGAUACAGUAUGACCUUGAUGGAGUAUAUAUAUAAGUUGAAACGAAUCAUAUUAAAAUAUCAUUUGUGGACAGUGCUUGGUAUAUUUUAAAGGAAACGAUCGAUAUACCCUGUCAGCAGUACUAGUGCAUUUACAACUGUGAUCAGCCUCUGUUAUCAUGAAGCAUUUAUUGAGCUGCCUAAUAAUUAUUGUGACUGUUCAUGGCAUGUGUGCUUCAUUAUGCACUACGACCAACAAGGAAAAGGUUGGGCGUGUUGUGUUUGGUGAAGCGAGUGGUGAAUCAGCCAGUGGACAGCUAGAGGUUGCAUAUACGAUUGUAAACAGAAUAAAUCAUGCCGGAUUUCCAAAUUCAUUAAAUGGAGUUGUAGAGCAGACAUAUACAUCGGGAGGUAAAACGUAUCAUCAUUAUAACACAUUAGAUAAUUCUGGUCACGACCAAAGAUGGACAGCAGCGAAAAAACCAGGUGCAAAAGAGCAUUCAGCGUAUAAUUCAGCAAUAACUCAAGCCGGGCAUGCACUUUGUGCGACAAAGUCUGAUCCUAUGAGUUGCGGCCCGGUCAAUUUUUGUGCCACAAAUCCGUGUGCCUCUACGAACAGUAAUAAGUAUUGGUGUGUGACCGAGAAAAAAAAGAUCGGAUCUCAUUGGUUUACUUGCAUCAAGAAAAAAACAGGAAAAUGCUGAACUUUGAAACUUAAAAUUUUCUUAUCUUGAGUUUCAAAUGUGAGAUAAAUAAGAGAAAAAAAAAUAAAAAAAAAAAAAUGAUCUCACACAAAGCCAUGCAUUUAUCAUUGAUUAUUAUGAAGAUUAUCACAUAUCACUUUCUAUGUAAAUCAGAUAUCAAUAUAUUUGUUUAAUAGAAAUGGUUUCUUC